UGAAGACGAGCAACAGGGAUUGCCCUAGUAACGGCGAGUGAAGCGGCAACAGCUCAAAUUUGAAAUCUGGCCCCCCCCCCGCGGGGGCCCGAGUUGUAAUUUGCAGAGGAUGCUUCUGGCGCGGCGCCUUCCGAGUUCCCUGGAACGGGACGCCAUAGAGGGUGAGAGCCCCGUCUGGUCGGCCGCCAAGCCUCUGUGAAGCUCCUUCGACGAGUCGAGUAGUUUGGGAAUGCUGCUCAAAAUGGGAGGUAUAUGUCUUCUAAAGCUAAAUACCGGCCAGAGACCGAUAGCGGACAAGUAAAGUGAUCGAAAGAUGAAAAGCACUUUGAAAAGAGGGUUAAACAGUACGUGAAAUUGUUGAAAGGGAAGCGCUCGCGACCAGACUCGGGCCCGGCGGAUCAUCCGGCGUUCCUCGCCGGUGCACUCCGCCGGCGCCCGGGCCAGCAUCGGCUCGCCGCGGGGGAUAAAGGCGGCGGGAACGUGGCCCCUCCGGGGGUGUUAUAGCCCGCCGCGCAAUGCCCCGCGCCGCGGGCCGAGGACCGCGCCCUAGGCAAGGAUGCUGGCGUAAUGGUCGCUAGCGACCCGUCUUGAAACACGGACCAAGGAGUCGUCUUCGUAUGCGAGUGUUCGGGUGUCAAACCCCUACGCGUAAUGAAAGUGAACGCAGGUGAGAGCCCUCGCGGGCGCAUCACCGACCGA
RNAcentral lists this ribosomal RNA (699 nucleotides) under Ophiocordyceps sobolifera. RNAcentral describes it as "partial large subunit ribosomal RNA". It matches the Rfam family "Eukaryotic large subunit ribosomal RNA", at positions 52 to 768 of the family's 3401-position model. The record is from RNAcentral. Lineage: Eukaryota; Fungi; Ascomycota; Sordariomycetes; Hypocreales; Ophiocordycipitaceae.